This 253-nucleotide ribosomal RNA is filed under the name uncultured bacterium. RNAcentral describes it as "partial 16S ribosomal RNA". It matches the Rfam family "Bacterial small subunit ribosomal RNA", at positions 524 to 776 of the family's 1533-position model. The record is from RNAcentral.
UACGUAGGUGGCAAGCGUUGUCCGGAUUUACUGGGCGUAAAGAGCGCGCAGGCGGUCGUUCAAGUCGCGUGUGAAAGCCCCCGGCUCAACUGGGGAGGGUCACGCGAUACUGAUCGACUCGAAGGCAGGAGAGGGAUGUGGAAUUCCAGGUGUAGCGGUGAAAUGCGUAGAUAUCUGGAGGAACACCGGUGGCGAAGGCGGCAUCCUGGACCGAGAUUGACGCUGAGGCGCGAAAGCUAGGGGAGCAAACGGG